UCCGUAGGUGAACCUGCGGAGGGAUCAUUGCUGGAACGCGCCCCAGGCGCACCCAGAAACCCUUUGUGAACUUAUACCUUACUGUUGCCUCGGCGCUAGCUGGUCCUUCGGGGCCCCUCACCCUCGGGUGUUGAGACAGCCCGCCGGCGGCCAACCUAACUCUUGUUUUUACACUGAAACUCUGAGAAUAAAACAUAAAUGAAUCAAAACUUUCAACAACGGAUCUCUUGGUUCUGGCAUCGAUGAAGAACGCAGCGAAAUGCGAUAAGUAAUGUGAAUUGCAGAAUUCAGUGAAUCAUCGAAUCUUUGAACGCACAUUGCGCCCUCUGGUAUUCCGGAGGGCAUGCCUGUUCGAGCGUCAUUUCAACCCUCAAGCCUGGCUUGGUGAUGGGGCACUGCCUGUAAAAGGGCAGGCCCUGAAAUUCAGUGGCGAGCUCGCCAGGACCCCGAGCGCAGUAGUUAAACCCUCGCUUUGGAAGGCCCUGGCGGUGCCCUGCCGUUAAACCCCCAACUUCUGAAAAUUUGACCUCGGAUCAGGUAGGAAUACCCGCUGAACUUAAGCAUAUCAAUAAGGCGGAGGA
Molecule: ribosomal RNA, 581 nt
Filed under: Alternaria mali
Lineage: Eukaryota; Fungi; Ascomycota; Dothideomycetes; Pleosporales; Pleosporaceae
Description: eukaryotic LSU rRNA
Rfam family: 5.8S ribosomal RNA (bases 208-361)
Source: RNAcentral